Molecule: RNA transcript, 5524 nt
Organism: Nothobranchius furzeri (turquoise killifish)
Lineage: Eukaryota; Metazoa; Chordata; Actinopteri; Cyprinodontiformes; Nothobranchiidae
Gene: rprd2a
Gene name: regulation of nuclear pre-mRNA domain containing 2a
Source: RefSeq, a predicted model, not a curated record
AAGCGUCGUAAGGUCGCCGUGAUUGUGGAAGUGUCUAACUCCGCACCAGGAUGUUAUAGGGCGCUAAGUUUUAACCAUAAGUGGUAAAUGAUAUUAACAGUUAUCUGUGACAAAUACCCUCACACGGGACAACUUAUAAUUACAGAGCAGAAAAAGCAAAGAGAAACCAAAGUUACUAGCAGUUUCCGCCGGUGUGAGAACACAGUUGAAGCUGAACCGCUGUUGGUAAGCCUUGGUGUCAAUUUAGCGUCAAGUUAGCAUGCUAAGCUAGGUGCUAGCCCCGGAUAAAUUGAUUUUGGAAUGAGAGAGUGCAGCAUAAACUCCUGUGGACAUGGCAGCGGGAGCUGGAACCGCGUCCGGUACAUCUCUGGAGGCAACACUAGAGAAGAGGUUUCGAAAUGUGACCAACACGAUGGACUCAAUUCAAGGACUGUCAACAUGGUGCCUAGACAACAAGAAGUACCACAGUCUCAUUGUGCGACACUGGAUGAAGUGUUUAAGAAAAUCUAACGCCCCCCACAGGCUCAACCUGCUGUACCUCGCCAAUGAUGUCAUUCAGAACUGCAAACGGAAAAACGCCAUUGUUUAUCGCACCGCGUUUGCCGAAGUGUUGCCAGACGCCUUCUUGCUGGUUAAUCAAGAGGGUGACCCCAAGGUGAUCCGAUCUGUGGAGAGAAUUCUGUCCAUUUGGGAAGAGAGGGAUGUGUAUUCAGGAACACUGAUUACAGAUCUUAGGAACACCUUGGUUAAAGAGGAGUCCCCCCCUGAGACGCCUGUGGAGCAGAACACUCCAGUUGAGUCCAAAGCAGAUCUGCAGUCCAAGAUUGUUGCUGAGUUUGUGCCGCAGGCAUUCAUAGACCAGCUGUCCAAGUACAAGAGAUCUCUGGAGGAGGUUGAUCUCAGAGAAAAACAGCUGGCUGCUAUGAGGGUUGACAUCUUCAGUUCUGAAGCUCUCAAGAAACUCAAAGAUAAAGCAGGAGGAAAGAAGUUCUCCAAGGACUUUGAGGAGGGAAGUGCACAGAUGCAGGAGUUUGUGAAGUUCUUUGACAAACAAAACAAAAUCGGUCCUCCGCUUCUAGAAGCACUCAGCAACGCAGACAUCUUCUAUGAACUGCAGUACAAAGAGGUCAAGAUUGUUGCAAAUGCUUACCAAACGUUUGCAAACCGAGUGUCCCACCUCAAACGUAAGCUGGACGCUCUGAAAGCCACCUUACCAGACCUGGACGAGUCGCCCAUCCCAUCACCUUCUGCCGAUGCGCCCUCUCCCACGGGAUCAGAGUCCCCUUUUCAUGGCAUGGAAUUGGCCCAUCCUGACCCCGAGCUCGACGGUUCGGCUAUGGAUGACGAUGCAGAACCCCCUGCACCAAGCCCCCUGUCAUCACCGGGAGGAUCCCCCCAGUAUGCGGACACUCUUGGAGAGAUUGACAAUUGCGAAGUGGAGGACAUGGAGCUCUCUGAGGAGGAGACGGGCAAUGGUGGUAUUAUAGUUGAGGAGCAAAUUGAAUCCGUAUGCCUACCAGAGGUGUCUGGUCCAAUUCCUGCCAAAAGUAAGGCAUCGGUAACGGAGUCAGCUGUGCUCCAGGCCACACCGUCUGCAGCCGCUCCUGCAGCCAUCCCUGCAGCCGUUCCUGCAGUCGCUCCUGCAACCGUUCCUGCAGCCGCUCCUGCAGCCGUUCCUGCAGCCAUUCCUGCAGCCGCCAUUGAAAGUGUGGACAUGAGUAAAAUCAGCUCCAUACUCAGCAGUAUUACUCCAGGCCUGAAUAGCACAGGGUUGGUGGAGUUUCCUGCAGCUGCUCCUGUUAUGUCGUCGGUGAAGCCCAAACCCGUGGCUCCGGUCAUCCCACAGGAUGCCACUUCUUUGGUCAGCCUGCUCUCCAAGGUGGAUGUGAGUCCUGCAGACCUCCUCAGUGCUCUGUCUAAAGUUCAGAGCCAAAGCAGUCUGAAGGGAAUCACUUCUCUCCUGUCACCAAAUGUUGACUCAGACUCACCCCCUGCAGACAAGAGUAUGCCCUCAUCCUCAUCCACAUCCUCCUCAGUAGUUCCCUCUCAGCCCACGUCUCCCUCCUUCAGAGCGUUUGUGCCUCCUUCAACCAAACCUGCUGUGCAGCAGAUCUCCAGCGCUCCAGCAACUCCAGAAACCUUGAAUAAAGCCUCCGCCCUGGUCCAGGCUCUUCACAGAGACAUGGAUCUGACUACAGAGCAGGAGCCGUCUUCUUCUUCCUCCAGUUUAGAGUCUAAAAUCCAUAACUUCCUGCAGGGAAACCCUGCUUUCAGCGCUUUUGACCUGAAAUUUUCAGCAAUUCCAGUUCAAGGUGCAGCUAACAUCAGCCCAGUAACUGGGACAGAGAACCAAGUUGGGACUCCGGUUAGGGAUGAAGGAGGAGGCACUCCGACUCAAGAUGAGAUCAUGGACAAGCCGGUGGCGGUCCCGAUCACCUCAGGUCUGAACCAGUCAGCUGCUGGUGAAGCCAUCCAGAAAGCGUCCGUUAUGUUUGAGAACCCCAACAAUCCCUUUCAUCCAGCUCCCCCACUGCCGGGUGUGGCUCAGAACGGCCAGCGCUUCCAGGCAUUCCCAUACAGCAAACAGGAAGUGUUAGAUGGAGGGAUGGCUGCACCUGUUGCACUUUAUCAGCAGCUCUCUGUGCAGGUGGGCGGGAACACGACUGGACACAGAGCUCCAGGCGGCGCAAGCGGCACACCGACAGCUGAAGGCUUUAGAGGAGUGAAUGAACUGAGUCGUUUUGGUGAUGGUUACCCAGUGGGGGGCUCCCAGCCACCUGGUGGCUACGGUGUGUUGGUGCCUGGAGGGGGUGGAGAAAACAAAACAUCCGGACUUUAUCCGUACCCAGCAGAGCAAGGUCGGGAGCCUCAGCAGGGCUUCACUGCAUCCCCUUCUUUCUUUAAAAACACCCUCCCUCCUGUCCCAAAGUUACCCCCUCCCCCUCCCUUUGAUGUCCUGUCUUCAUUAACCAGUGGGGUGAUGCGUCCCCCAGAGCAGGAAUCCGUUCCCAGUCCAGGUAUGGGAGGGGUAGUUGGGAACAGAAUGGACAGCAUCAUUAGUGGGAUGGUCGUUCAUGACCAUCAGCACAAGUCCUCUCAUCCAGAUGACCCGUUCUACGACUCAAAUCGCCCGCUGCACCUCGAAGACCCAUACCCCCACCCAGAUAAUGACCUGCAAUACCAGGAGGACCUUGAGCGUUACCAUGGUGACAACAGGCAGCACGAUCCUCAUUUCUUUCACAACGACCCUUACUAUCCUCCUGACGAUGCAUUUUUCAGGCCAGGAAGUCCGCCACACCCUCACCAGAGAGUCCGAGGGCAGCUCACCCCCCCGCUUUCACCCUCAGGGGAUCCUUACUUUUCUCACGACUAUCAGCAGCGCAGCCCCCCUCCUCACCCGCACUACGCACCUCGGCGACCGCCGCCGCCUCAUCAUGAAAUCCACCGUCCUGGUCUGCGGCCCCCACAUCGGCCUCCCCGCCCAGGACUGAACCCACACCCCAGAGGACCACCUCGCCAGCCAUUCCCUCGGUUCCGCGGCCCUGAACCGAGGCUAAGAGGAAAGCGCGCGGGUCCAAGAGGGGGAGGUCCGAUGUUUCUGCCGAAAAGACCGUUUUUACCGCCGAGGUUCUGACAGAAUUAAGAACGAGACCACAUUCUGCCCCACAAAGCCUCUGAAAGGGUGAAAGUAGCCGGCUAAACUGUUCCAGCGGCCAUCGGAGGACUCCCAGAAGGAAAGGAAUAAUUGAGAAGAAUAAAGGAGGUUCAGAGGGUAGACGGCUUCACGUCAGGAAAAACGCCGAGCUGAAGAGUGAAGACCGAAGAUUAAAGAAAAUAAAAGCCCUCCAUCCCCCCCUCCUGCUCUCAUCCUCAGGGAUCCAGAGCCACUUUGAUGUGUCUGAUGUGAUAGAAGAGCUCUCCCACAUGUUGGUCUGAUGAUGAUGGAGGUGGAGAAGGAAAGGAGGGAGGCUCUUUGAAUCCUGCCCCGCUCUCGGUGAUGGUUCUUCACGGUCUGUUAUGAAUGCCGUGCACCGUGGCAGCUGAGUAAGCUCCGAGUUUUUAAUACUUCACACACCACAGGAAGUGUCACCGGCGGGGAGUCAAAACAAUCGAUACACACAUGGAGGGGGAUAAAAUGUUGGAUCGUGUGUGUCUCCGUUUCCCUGUAGGUGUUAGUUUAGGAGGGAAGGCAGUAAGUUGUUUGUGAAAUAAAGUUUUACUACAAAUCAGAAAAAACACGAUUCUGUUGUGAUUUAUUUACAACUAGCAGCGUGUCUGACGUUUUUCCAAGUUGGAUACAUGAGCUAAAGGCUAAUAGCUAAUUUCCACAGUACAUUUCUAUUAUUGUUCUGAAUGCAAAGAAAUAAUAGGGUCUUGUGUGAACUUAAUUCUGUAAAACUUCACUAAAAAAAACGUCACUCUUGUUGGUUCACUUUAGACAAUUAUUUCGUCAGAAAAGUAUAGAUUUAUGACAGGAAGUGUAACGCAUCAAACCGGAAGCUAUACAUAUCUAGUUCUCCACUAAUUUCUAGUACAAGUAAUAAAAUCCUUUGUAAAUGACCAUGUGAUGUUGAUUUAUCAACAGCAACUUUGUGUUCAUUAACUGCUUUAACUGUUUUGAGAUUUUAAAAAGGAUAGUAGUUUUAAUUUUUGAGCUGGCCCUGCAGUAGCUAGCUGUUAGCUUAUCCAAUCAGAACUCAUGUUUUCUGAAUAGAAGAUGUUCAAAGCAUUAACUCUUAACAGUUAAGGUAAUAAUUGUUUGUAAACUUUUAAAGGGGCACUAUGGAAGUUUGACAGCCAAAACAUGUGUAGAAAUAAUAAAUUUCUUCUUCAUACAUUCUCAUGCAAUGCCCUGGUCCUGUAGAAUGAGCCCUGGCAUUUUUACUGUGAUUGCCCGUUUUUCUGUAAAAUCACAGAAAAAGAGAGAUGCUCUGGUCGAGCAGGCUGCUGCAUGCGCGUUCACGCUCAGGCAUAGUCCAUAGCACUUGCUAUCCGUAGCUUUAGCAGCAGAGAGAGAGAGGUAGUGCCAACUCAGCGACUUUGUCUCUGUUCCUAACGCCUAGUGAUGAACCUAGCUACAUUUCUGAGGACCCUUAGCUACUUUCUUCUAGAUAUUUCCUGCAAAUUAGCAACAAAAUAGCCAUUUUUGCUCCGAACCUUUCUUUGAACAUUGUUUCAGCUGUCAUCAAGGAUAUAAAUAUUACAGAUACAGAUACUGGUGUUAUAGCUCACCUAGUAAAACGUUGGACUCUCGUGUGGAAUUCUGGAUGUGAACAGAGUGUAUUUGUUACAUUAAUGGUAUUUUUUUUACAGUAAGAUGUCCAAAUUUUUAUUUGAGACUUGCUGAACGGCAUUGAAUUCACAGAUAAAAAAGAUGUAGGUUCAACUUUCCUUUUGGAACAAUUUUUCAAGCAAGGGAAGGGAAUGAUCUGAGCAUGCAGGAGGACUGACCCAUCUUAAACCUUUGUCGGCUGUGCUGAAGAGAAAGGUACAUAACCAAAUUAUUUAAUUAAUUAGCUGCACA